GCAGUGGUGGUACUGUGGUAAAAUUCUCACCUUCCAAGUGGGAGACCUUGUUCAAUUCGAGCCAAUGCA
Molecule: transfer RNA, 69 nt
Filed under: Loxodonta africana (African savanna elephant)
Lineage: Eukaryota; Metazoa; Chordata; Mammalia; Proboscidea; Elephantidae
Rfam family: tRNA
About the family: Transfer RNA (tRNA) molecules are approximately 80 nucleotides in length.
Source: Rfam by way of RNAcentral